GAUUAACGCUGGCGGCGUGCCUAACACAUGCAAGUCGAACGCGCAUUUAUGCGAGUGGCGGACGGCUGAGUAACACGUUGGUACCUGCCCUAGACUCGGGGAUAAGCCUUGGAAACGAGGUCUAAUACCCGAUAUCCUCUUUGGAGGAAAGCUUUUGCGGUCUAGGAGGGGCCGUGCGCAUGAUUAGCUAGUUGGUGAGGUAACGGCUCACCAAGGCAACGAUCAUUAGAUGGUCUGAGAGGAUGAUCAUCCAGA
RNAcentral lists this ribosomal RNA (255 nucleotides) under uncultured bacterium. Its description in RNAcentral is "partial 16S ribosomal RNA". It matches the Rfam family "Bacterial small subunit ribosomal RNA", at positions 28 to 312 of the family's 1533-position model. The record is from RNAcentral.